RNAcentral lists this long non-coding RNA (717 nucleotides) under Homo sapiens (human). RNAcentral describes it as "p53 upregulated regulator of p53 levels". Lineage: Eukaryota; Metazoa; Chordata; Mammalia; Primates; Hominidae. The record is from RNAcentral.
GUGGUGACCUGGGAAUCAAUGUGUGAGGUGGUGCUAUGUAGCAGGAACCCCUCUUGCUUUGCAAAUAGUUUUUUGUUUGUUUUCCUUUUUGCCCAAUAGAGCCCUGCUCUACUGACCCUUCAAUGUGCCCGUGUGCCUAAAUAUUCCUGGUCGUGUGAAAAGAACCCAGGUAUUAGCUGAACUAAGGAGCACAAUUCUGCAACAUUUUGGCACCCAAACACGGGGCUUGAGAAAUGAAUGCAAUUGGAGAAACUGGUUGUUUUACCAGGCGUUGAUUGGAAAUGUGUGCUUCCCUUUAAGCAGUCAAGCUCAACUUGCAGAACUGAUGGGAACCCCUUGGGAAAACUGGCCUCAAAUGUUUGUCUACACAGUCCACAUACAGGGUUCUUAACCUGCGAUGCUUUUGUGUAGAUGAGGGAAACUUCCCAGGGCUUGUCUGGGUAUGCCCACAGUGGACUGGAGCCCAAAAUGCACACUGGAGGAAGUGGAUGGAGCCACGUGGAUGUCAUGCCUUAUGCAGGGGAGGAGCCUGCUCUCUUCAGCUCCUGUGGUAAUGUGGGAAUCGAUCUGUGAGAUUCCAUGAACUCCAAGUUAAGAACACAUGAUCUGGAUGUUUGACAAAAUACCUUCAGCAGGAAUAAUGAAAGCCCUGACAUUUCUGUGUGCAUAAAAACUGGAAAACUUUAAAAGUAAUAAAUCACCAAGUCUUUAUAAAAA